UACGUAGGGCGCAAGCGUUGUCCGGAAUUAUUGGGCGUAAAGAGCUCGUAGGCGGUCUGUUGCGUCCGCUGUGAAAACCCAGGGCUUAACCCUGGGCUUGCAGUGGAUACGGGCAGACUAGAGGCAGGUAGGGGAGAAUGGAAUUCCCGGUGUAGCGGUGAAAUGCGCAGAUAUCAGGAGGAACACCGGUGGCGAAGGCGGUUCUCUGGGCCUGACCUGACGCUGAGGAGCGAAAGCGUGGGGAGCGAACAGG
This 253-nucleotide ribosomal RNA is filed under the name uncultured bacterium. Its description in RNAcentral is "partial 16S ribosomal RNA". It matches the Rfam family "Bacterial small subunit ribosomal RNA", at positions 524 to 776 of the family's 1533-position model. The record is from RNAcentral.